Molecule: ribosomal RNA, 385 nt
Filed under: uncultured bacterium
Lineage: Bacteria
Description: bacterial SSU rRNA
Rfam family: Bacterial small subunit ribosomal RNA
Source: RNAcentral
AUUGAACGCUGGCGGCAGGCCUAACACAUGCAAGUCGAGCGGGGUUUUCGGACCUAGCGGCGGACGGGUGAGUAAUGCGUAGGAAGCUACCCGACAGAGGGGGAUACCAGUUGGAAACGACUGUUAAUACCGCAUAAUGUCUACGGACCAAAGUGUGGGACCUUCGGGCCACAUGCUGUCGGAUGCGCCUACGUGGGAUUAGCUAGUUGGUGGGGUAAUGGCUCACCAAGGCGACGAUCCCUAGCUGGUCUGAGAGGAUGAUCAGCCACACUGGAACUGAGACACGGUCCAGACUCCUACGGGAGGCAGCAGUGGGGAAUAUUGGACAAUGGGCGCAAGCCUGAUCCAGCCAUGCCGCGUGUGUGAAGAAGGCCUCGGUUGUAAG